GAUGAACGCUGGCGGCGUGCCUAAUACAUGCCAGUCGAGCGAACAGAUGAGUAGCUUUCUCCUCUGACGGUAGCGGCGGACGGGGGAGUAACACGUGGAUAACCUACCUAUAAGACUGGGAUAACUUCGGGAAACCGGAGCUAAUACCGGAUAAUAUAUUGAACCGCAUGGUUCAAUAGUGAAAGACGGUUUUGCUUUCACUGAUAGAUGGAUCCGCGCCGCAUUAGCUAGUUGGUAGGGUAACGGCUUACCAAGGCGACGAUGGGUAGCCGCCCUGAGAGGGUGAUCGGCGGCCCUGCAACUGCGACACGGUCCAGCCUCCUACGGGAGGCAGCAGUAGGGAAUAUUCGGGAAUGGGCGGCAGACUGACGGAGCAGCGCCGCGUGAGUGGUGAAGGUCUUCGGAGCGUAAAACUCUGUUAUUGGGGAAGAACAAAGGUGUACGUGACUGUGCACGUCUUGACGGUACCUAAUCAGAAAGCGACGGCUAACUACGUG
Molecule: ribosomal RNA, 497 nt
Filed under: uncultured bacterium
Lineage: Bacteria
Description: partial 16S ribosomal RNA
Rfam family: Bacterial small subunit ribosomal RNA
Source: RNAcentral